RNAcentral lists this ribosomal RNA (504 nucleotides) under uncultured bacterium. RNAcentral's name for it is "partial 16S ribosomal RNA". It matches the Rfam family "Bacterial small subunit ribosomal RNA", at positions 30 to 523 of the family's 1533-position model. The record is from RNAcentral.
AUUGAACGCUGGCGGCUUGCCUUACACAUGCAAGUCGAACGGCAGCAUGGAGAGCUUGCUCUCUGAUGGCGAGUGGCGAACGGGUGAGUAAUGCAUCGGAACGUACCGUGUAAUGGGGGAUAACGUAGCGAAAGUUACGCUAAUACCGCAUACGACCUGAGGGUGAAAGCAGGGGAUCGCAAGACUUUGCGUUAUACGAGCGGCCGAUGGCAGAUUAGCUAGUUGGUGAGGUAAAGGCUCACCAAGGCGACGAUCUGUAGCGGGUCUGAGAGGAUGAUCCGACACACUGGGACUGAGACACGGCCCAGACUCCUACGGGAGGCAGCAGUGGGGAAUUUUGGACAAUGGGGGCAACCCUGAUCCAGCCAUGCCGCGUGAGUGAAGAAGGCCUUCGGGUUGUAAAGCUCUUUCGGCCGGGAAGAAAUCGCACAGGCUAAUACUCUGUGUGGAUGACGGUACCGGCAUAAGAAGCACCGGCUAACUACGUGCCAGCCGCCGCGGUAA